ACCUCUAUGCCGAAUAUUAGCAAAUACCUGCAUAUCCUAGCGUUCAAACCAGAGCACAUCAACACAACAGGCAUCUCCUCGAAACUGGAUUCCAGCAAGGACACCUGGGGCAGAGAGAGAAAGUAGGAAUGCUGAACUCUGGAGGGACGAUGCACCUCAGAGAGGUUCAAAGCUAUUCAAAGGCAGAGCCAGCACCUAAAAUUGACUCCACACCACCGGGCCUGAUCUGUGUUCUGGGGGCUCCAACCUGCCGGAGAGAAGACUGAGGGGGAGACGGAGCUCCAGAUCCAGAAAAGCAGCAAAACCAGACAAGCGGCGCCAUGGCCGCCUCGGGACCAGCUGCACUGGCUAAUGACCCCCUGCCCCGACAGGGACCAGUCAUGAUCCUGAAAGAGCACACCUGGAAAGCUGGGGAAUCUUCUAUUAAGACCCUCUCCUGAGACCUCCCCUAAGAUUUACACCCGAAAGAGAGAUAAAUACGCUCAGGAUGAAGGACCCGGUGCCUGCUCUUCCCCAGGGGAGCCAUUCCCGUUCCCCUUCUUUCCUCUAAGGGGCCCUAUGAGACUUGCCACCAGGGGAGCAAUGGGCAGCGGCAGCUCAUCCAUGGCUCACCCCUGAACCUGUCUUCAAGGCCCCCUUUUCUCUGACUUCUCAGUGAGCCAAAGCAGCCCAGCCUGGGCUCUCCUGUUGCUUCUUCUGUGCCCUUCCUUGUUUCUCCGUCCUAAACAUAUUUAUGAUGUGGCCAAUAAAUUCUUACUUACUUUACUACA
Molecule: long non-coding RNA, 770 nt
Organism: Myotis daubentonii (Daubenton's bat)
Lineage: Eukaryota; Metazoa; Chordata; Mammalia; Chiroptera; Vespertilionidae
Source: RefSeq, a predicted model, not a curated record